CUGAAACAUUUUGUGAUUUAGCGAAGAUAAAACACACAUACUCUGUUUUCCUUCACAAUUUCUGGCUUUUAAUAUUCUGAGCUUCUUCCAUGCUCUGCUAGACCAUUUCUUGAAUCACAGUGAAGAGUCGAAGAAUUUCAUCACUUUCAAGCAGAUGUCUACCUUGGAUUCAGCCAAUGGGAUUCAGUAAAGAGAGAUUUAGAAGUCAGAAGAAAAACAAGACUUCCAGUACAGCUGCAGCAAGAUGCACAGGCAUUUGGCAGACAUGACGUUGGCAGCAGCAUCCAAAUUGGCAUGUUUAUAUAUUUUAUCUGGGAUGGAAAUACUUUAGAGAAGAAGAAAUUCUUGAAAGCACUGAAGAACUAAGGGAAGCAAUAGAGUAAUGUUUCUUAUAAGAUAAACACCAAAAACAGACAUUUUGACUGCUGACAGAUCUUCAGAGGGAAGACAAUGAAAGUGUAUGGAGGGAAGAUACAGAAGCUGGACUGAAUGUGAAGGAAGCUGAGAACCCUGCAUGAGGCUCCCACAGACAGGGACUUGUUUCUGGCCCCCAACAACUCCAGGGAAAAAGAUAAGUUGAACUGGAAAGGAGCAACUGCUUUCCUCAUGGGCCUGUGGAAUCCCAGCAGAAAGACAUCCCUCAACCACUAUGGACACUUGAAUUGGCAGUAAGAGCUGCUUAAAGAAGUGGUAGGUACUGCAUGCCAUCCAGUACAUAGCCAAAAGGGUUUAGUGCCAGAGCAUCUGUAGUGUAGCACAGCCAAGGAUGCUUACCCCGUUGCCCAGGCUUCACUUUCUCACAUAGGGGACUUUAACCCUAGGGAAACUGUCAGACCUGAACUCUGAUGGGCAUUCUCAGCCAUCAAAUGGGGAUGGAUCACCUGUACUACUUCUGUAACAAGGGUUCUGAACCAGUUUGAGAUGACUGAAAUGACAAAAAUAGAAUUCAGAAUAUGUAUAACAAUAAAGACCAUUGUGAUGCAGGAGUACAUUAAAACUUAAUCCAACAAAGCUAAGAAUAAGAAUAAAAUGAUACAAGAGGUGACAGAGAAAAAUAGUCAGAAUGGAAAGAAUGUAAACAAGCUGCUAGAGUUGAAAAACACAGGAUGAGAAUUUCAUAACACAUUUGCAAGUAAGAAUAAUAGAAUACACCAAGCCAAGGAAAGAAUCUCAGAGCUUGAAGAUUGGCUUUGUGAAAUAAGGCAGUCAGACAAGAAUAAAAAAAAAAAAUGAAGAGGGGCACACAAAAACUCUGAGAAAUAUGGGAGAAAUGUGGAAUUAUGUAAAGGGGCCAAAUAUAUAACUCUUGGUAUUCCUGAAAAAGAUGGGAAGAAUGGAAAUAACAUGAAAAACAUAUUUCAUUGUGGGGGUCCGGCACAUCUGCUGGGGGGCUUCCGACCAGCGGAGAGCCUCAGCCCUACUCAAGUGUUUUAACCUGGAAGAGGGAGUGUGCGGAAGAAAAGAUAGAUAGAGAGCGGGGUCUGGAGGACUGCCAGGCAAUGCGGGAGCAAGAAGUGCCAAGACAGCAAGUUUAUUUGUGCCAACUGCAGGUUAUAUACCUUUCAGUGUUUGAGGAGUGACGUACAUUCCAUUGUAUCUUGAAAUAAAAUCAAGAACAAAAAAUCACAAGAAAAGGGGUACAGAAAGUAUGACUCUUAAUCUAAGGGUGUACAGCAAAGGGACAAUAAAACUUGCAAAAAGGGGAUCAUAAAUCUAAACAUGUGUUUUUCUAAAAUCAGUUAAGCAAGCAAGUAAGAUUGUUAAGAAGGUAUAGCUGGACCUUGCUAAAUGUCAUUCUAACCUUGCCUAUUCAUAUAGGAUCAUAUGCAAACAAUGUGAUUGAGUUAGCAGAGGUAAAUGAAGUCAUACAGUUAUUGUGCAGAGAAGGAACUAGGAGGCACACAAUGUCUAACCACACAAUGUCUCAUUAGACCACAAGGCCUGAGCUCAGCCAUUCUGUUGCAAAUGUCAGAAGCAAAGAUUGAUGUUUAUAAAAUCAGUGCAACCAGACUUCCUCCUUUCCCUUAGCUCAACAGCCUCCAGGAGAGGAGAAACGUGUAUGGGCUCAAGCUCAAGAUGGCGAGGGUCCUGUCAAGGGCCCUUCGCAGGAGCGAUCCCCACAUUUCAUUAUAUCAUCAAUAAAAUAUUCCCCAACCUAGCUAGAGAGGUCAAAAUUUAAAGUCAGAAAAUGCAGAGAACCCUGGUAAGAUACUUCACAAGAAAAUGAUCCCUAAGACACAUAAUCAUUAAAUGCUUCAAAAUGAAAAUCAAUUAAAAAAUAUUACAGUCAGCUAGAAAAAAGGUCACAUCACUAUAAGAGGAAGUCCAUCAACCUAAUAGCAGACCUCUCAGCAGAAACUCUACAAACCAGAAUAGAUUAGAAACCAGUAUUCGAUACUUGUAAAGAAAAGAAAUUCCAAUCCAGAAUUUUAUAUUCUGUUAAAUUAAGCAAAGGAGAAAUAUAAUCCUUUCAGAUGUGAAUGUUGAGAGAAUUUAUUUUCACUACAUGUCUGCAUAAUAACCAGUUAAUAUCAUGAUGUCAGGAUCAGACUCACACAUAACAGUAGUAAUUUUGAAUAUAAGUGGGCUAAAUACCCCAGUUAAAACACACAGAUUGGCAAGCUGGAUAAAGAACCAAGACCCAACUGUAUGCUGUCUUCAAGAGACCCAUCUCACUUGCAAUGACACCCAAAGACUCAGCAUAAAGGAAUGCAGAAAAAAAGCAUUAUGAAGAAAAUGGAAAACAGAAAAAAGUUGGGGUUGCAAUCCUAAUUUCAUAAAAAAGAGACUUUAAAUUAACAAAGUUUCUGCCCUCAACCUUCAGAAUCUAAGUUCUUCACCUUUUGGACGCUUGGAGCUACACUAGUGGUUUGCCAAGAGCUCUCCAGCCUUGAGCCACAGACUGAAGUUUGCACUAUCAGCAUCCCUACUUUUGAGGUUUUGGGACUCAGACUGGCUUCCUUGCUCCUCAGUUUUCAGAUGGCCUGUUGUGAGACUUCACUUUGUGAUCAUAUGAGUCAAUAUGCCUUAAUAACCUCCCUUUCAUAUAUACAUUUAUCCUGCUAGUCCUAUCCCUCUAGAGAACCCUAUUACAGGAGAAAAAGGAAUGCUUAUACACUGUUGGUGGGAGUGUAAAUUAGUUCAACAAUUGUGGAAAGGAGUGUGGCAAUUUCAUACAGAAAUACCAUUUGACCUAACAAUCUCAUUUCUGGGUGUAUACCCAAGGGAAUAUAAAUUGUUCUACCAUAAAGACACAUGUAUGUGAAUGUUCAUUGCAGCACUAUUCGCAAUAGCAAUGACAUGGAAUCAACCUAAAUGUCCAUCAGUAAUAGACUGGAUUUUAAAAUGUGGUACAUAUGUACCAUAAAAUACUAUGCAGUCAUAAAAAAGAAUCAGAUCAUAUCCUUUUGCAGGAGCAUGGAUGGAGAUGGAGGCCAUUAUCCUUAGCAAACUAAUGCAGGAACAGAAAAUGAAAUACUGCAUGUUGUCACUUAUAAAUGGGAGCUAAAUAAUGGAAACACAUGGACACAUAGAGUGGACCAACAAACACUGGAGCCUACCAGAAGGUGGAGGAUUAGAAGAGAGAGAGGAUCAAGAAAAAUAACUAAGGAAUACUAUGCUGGUUACCUGGGUAAUGAAUUAAUCUGUACAACAAACCCACAUGACACACAUUGACCUAUAAAACAAACCUGCACAUGUACCCCUGUACUUAAAGUAGAAGUUAGAAAAAACAACACUUGCAUGCCUAUGUUCAUCAUAGCACUAAUCACAACACUGAAGUCAUGAAAUCAACAUAAAUUCUCACUAACAAUAGGCUGGAUUAAAAAUAUGUGGUGUAUAUACACCAUGGAAUAUUAUGCAGCCAUAAAAAAGAAUGACAUUAUCUCUUUUGCAGCAACAUGGAUAAAGGUGCAGCCAUAAUCCACCAUAAUUCUAAAUGAACUAAUGCAGGAACAGAAAACCAAACAUUACAUAGUCUCACUUUUAAGAAGCAGCAGCUGAACAUUGAGUACACAUGGCACGAAGAGAGAAACAAUGGAUACCAGGGCCUACUUGAUGGUGGAGAGUGGGAAGAAAGAGAGGAUUGAAAAGUUACCUUUUGGUACUAUGGUUAUGAUGUGGGUGAUGAAUUAUUCUGUACACCAAACCCCCAUGGCAUGCAAUUUACCUCUAUAACAAACCUUCACA
Molecule: non-coding RNA, 4188 nt
Organism: Callithrix jacchus (white-tufted-ear marmoset)
Lineage: Eukaryota; Metazoa; Chordata; Mammalia; Primates; Cebidae
Source: RefSeq, a predicted model, not a curated record